CCGAGUUAUACAACUCAUCAACCCUGUGAACAUACCUAAAACGUUGCUUCGGCGGGAACAGACGGCCCUGUAACAACGGGCCGCCCCCGCCAGAGGUCCCCUAACUCUGUUUUUAUAAUGUUUUUCUGAGUAAACAAGCAAAUAAAUUA
RNAcentral lists this unclassified non-coding RNA (149 nucleotides) under soil metagenome. RNAcentral describes it as "partial internal transcribed spacer 1". The record is from RNAcentral.